RNAcentral lists this unclassified non-coding RNA (335 nucleotides) under soil metagenome. RNAcentral's name for it is "partial contains 5.8S ribosomal RNA, internal transcribed spacer 2, and large subunit ribosomal RNA". The stretch from base 1 to 120 matches the Rfam family "5.8S ribosomal RNA", at positions 35 to 154 of the family's 154-position model. The record is from RNAcentral.
GAUGAAGAACGUAGCGAAAUGCGAUAAGUAGUGUGAAUUGCAGAAUUCAGUGAAUCAUCGAAUCUUUGAACGCACAUUGCGCCCCUUGGUAUUCCAUGGGGCAUGCCUGUUCGAGCGUCAUUUGUACCUUCAAGCUUUGCUUGGUGUUGGGUGUUUGUCUCGCCUUUGCGUGUAGACUCGCCUUAAAAUAAUUGGCAGCCGGCGUAUUGAUUUCGGAGCGCAGUACAUCUCGCGCUUUGCACUCAUAACGACAGCGUCCAAAAGUACAUUUUACACUCUUGACCUCGGAUCAGGUAGGGAUACCCGCUGAACUUAAGCAUAUCAAUAAGCGGAGA